This 215-nucleotide unclassified non-coding RNA is filed under the name rhizosphere metagenome. Its description in RNAcentral is "partial ribosomal RNA internal transcribed spacer region". The record is from RNAcentral.
GUAGGUGAACCUGCGGAAGGAUCAUUACAGAGAACUUGCCCCUUGGGGUAGAUCUCCACCCUUUGUUUACUAUACCUUUGUUGCUUUGGCAGGCCUGUCUUUUGACUACCGGCAUCAGCUGGUCAGUGCCUGCCAGAGGACCCUAAACUCUUGAUUUGUAUUGUCCGAGUAUUACAUAAUAGUUAAAACUUUCAACAACGGAUCUCUUGGUUCUA